AAUACAGGUUAUGAUAUAUAAUGAUAACUAUACUACAAACUCACUACAACCUCGCACUACUCGCUACUACAACCAACACUUCAACACCAAUGCAAACGUACUGCAAAACCCCACAAGAGGCGCGAGUUUCGAACCAGUUUUAUCCGCAAGCGAUACUCAGAAUGAAGCAAUGACGUAUUCAACAGAAAACGAGGCCUCGUUUGUCAUCGUCACGUGAUUUUCACGGAAACGAUACAAGCCUCGAAUCGGGGCUUCAUCUGGAACGCCCCUUUUUGCUCGACACAAGCUCCGGAGCCUCGCUUCAGAUGUCCCAUCACUACUGAGAGUCACAGCCUCAGAGGCAUCGUAAACAAGCGUUAUAUUUCUCUAUAAACGAUGGUGUCUGUACUGCCUUACCACUUCGAGCUCGAUCCAGAGAGUUCAGAAGGCCGUUACGAUAUAAACGAUCUCCGUCAAUGAAUGCGAUUGGAUUUAACUUUUUUAGGUGUCCUUAGCUCUGCCAGAAUGCUAAACGAAGACGAAAAUGUGUUGCAAAGACAUCCAAAAGGUAAUUAUAACGUACUACAUAACUAUAUGGAAACACCAAAUGUAGCACAUAGAAAGUAUUUGUUGAAAUGAUUAUAAAACGAUUUCACUUGGUAAUUUCUACAUUAUUUUACUCUAGUAAAAUUUAUUAUAAGACUGCUUACAUACUGUAUUACUGUGCAAACUAUAUGGAAACACCAAAUGUAGCACAUAUAAAGUAUUUGUUGAAAUGAUUAUAAAACGAUUUCACUUGGUAAUUUCUACAUUAUUUUACUAUAGUAAACUUAAUUAUAAAAUACUGCUUACAUACUAUUUUACUGUGCAAACUAUAUGGAAACACCAAAUGUAGCACAAAAAAAGUAUUAAUUGAAAUGAAUGUUAGUUCUACAUUAUUUUACUAUGGUAAACUUUAUUAUGAAAGACUGUGCUAUGUUUUUACUUACUAGGUUUUAAGGAGAAUGCAACAUGUUCCAGGGCCUCUUACCUGCGUGAUUCAUCAUCCAGGUUUUGCACAAAUUGUCUAAAUCCCUACACACAGAACAUUUAUUGUACCGAAUAUAAGCCUUUGAGGCGCAGGACUAGAAUACGCUUGGAGCUUCCUGAUCGGAAUGUUGGCUUCCGACGACCCCUGCACUGAAGAUGGCAUGCAAUCACGUCCUCCUUUGAAGGUCUCUCAAACUGUGAUGCCAGGUCCAUUGGAAUCGGGGUUUCCUUCAGCUUAUCUUCAAAUACCUCAGCAAACACAAGCCUGAUCACAUCAUCCACAUAACUGUAGAAAUAUUGCGGUCAAUAAAUCUUUUGUUUUGAUCAUUUAUUUCCCUGCUUCAUACAUUAAGUUUUUAAUUAUGAAUGUAUUUGAAAUAAAACAUUACUGCUUA
This is a long non-coding RNA of Paramisgurnus dabryanus, 1403 nucleotides long. RefSeq lists it as uncharacterized. Lineage: Eukaryota; Metazoa; Chordata; Actinopteri; Cypriniformes; Cobitidae. The record is from RefSeq and is a predicted model, not a curated record.